UACGGAGGGUGCAAGCGUUGUUCGGAAUCAUUGGGCGUAAAGCGCGUGUAGGCGGCUUUGCAAGUCGGUUGUAAAAGCCCGGGGCCCAACCCCGGAACUGCAUCUGAAACUGCCUGGCUAGAGUCCCGGAGAGGAAGGCAGAAUUCCCGGUGUAGGGGUGAAAUCCGUAGAUAUCGGGAGGAAUACCAGCGGCGAAGGCGGCCUUCUGGACGGUGACUGACGCUGGGACGCGAAAGCGUGGGGAGCGAACAGG
RNAcentral lists this ribosomal RNA (253 nucleotides) under uncultured bacterium. RNAcentral describes it as "partial 16S ribosomal RNA". It matches the Rfam family "Bacterial small subunit ribosomal RNA", at positions 524 to 776 of the family's 1533-position model. The record is from RNAcentral.